This 500-nucleotide ribosomal RNA is filed under the name uncultured bacterium. RNAcentral describes it as "partial 16S ribosomal RNA". It matches the Rfam family "Bacterial small subunit ribosomal RNA", at positions 30 to 523 of the family's 1533-position model. The record is from RNAcentral.
AUUGAACGCUGGCGGCAUGCCUUACACAUGCAAGUCGAACGGCAGCACGGGAGCAAUCCUGGUGGCGAGUGGCGAACGGGUGAGUAAAGUAUCGGAACGUGCCCAGUCGUGGGGGAUAACGUAGCGAAAGUUACGCUAAUACCGCAUACGAUCUAUGGAUGAAAGCGGGGGAUCGCAAGACCUCGCGCGAUUGGAGCGGCCGAUAUCAGAUUAGGUAGUUGGUGGGGUAAAGGCUCACCAAGCCGACGAUCUGUAGCUGGUCUGAGAGGACGACCAGCCACACUGGGACUGAGACACGGCCCAGACUCCUACGGGAGGCAGCAGUGGGGAAUUUUGGACAAUGGGCGAAAGCCUGAUCCAGCCAUGCCGCGUGCAGGAUGAAGGCCUUCGGGUUGUAAACUGCUUUUGUACGGAACGAAAAGGUUUGGCCUAAUAAGCUGAGCUCAUGACGGUACCGGAAGAAUAAGGACCGGCUAACUACGUGCCAGCAGCCGCGGUAA